Molecule: ribosomal RNA, 689 nt
Filed under: uncultured bacterium
Lineage: Bacteria
Description: bacterial SSU rRNA
Rfam family: Bacterial small subunit ribosomal RNA
Source: RNAcentral
AACGCUAGCUACAGGCUUAACACAUGCAAGUCGAGGGGCAGCAUAAAACUAGCUUGCUAGUUUUGAUGGCGACCGGCGCACGGGUGAGUAACGCGUAUCCGACCUACCCAUAACACGGGCACAGCCGCUCGAAAGAGUGAUUGAUUCCCGAUAUGUCUUGUGAGUAGAUUGCAAGAUGAAAGAUUUAUCGGUUAUGGAUGGGGAUGCGUAAGAUUAGGUAGUAGGCGGGGUAACGGCCCACCUAGCCGACGAUCUUUAGGGGUUCUGAGAGGAAGGUCCCCCACACUGGUACUGAGACACGGACCAGACUCCUACGGGAGGCAGCAGUGAGGAAUAUUGGUCAAUGGGCGGAAGCCUGAACCAGCCAAGUAGCGUGAAGGAUUACAGCCCUACGGGUUUUAAACUUCUUUUAUAUAAGAGUAAUGUGCACUACGUGUAGUGUAUUGCAAGUAUUAUAUGAAUAAGCAUCGGCUAACUCCGUGCCAGCAGCCGCGGUAAUACGGAGGAUGCGAGCGUUAUCCGGAUUUAUUGGGUUUAAAGGGAGCGUAGGCGGGUUAUUAAGUCAGUCGUCAAAGCCUGUGGCUCAACCACAGCCCGCGAUUGAUACUGGUAACCUUGAGUGCGGAUGAGGUGGAUGGAAUUCGUGGUGUAGCGGUGAAAUGCUUAGAUAUCACGAAGAACUCCGAUUG